Dermacentor silvarum is the source of this 2273-nucleotide long non-coding RNA. RefSeq lists it as uncharacterized. The transcript has 2 exons. NCBI's taxonomy places the organism in Eukaryota, Metazoa, Arthropoda, Arachnida, Ixodida, Ixodidae. The record is from RefSeq and is a predicted model, not a curated record.
CUUGUGUAUUGGUUGUAGGUUCGGUGUUACUUGGCGGAAAGCCGUGAGUAGUGCUUGUGUGGCAGUGCGGCUUUGGCCUCGGUGAGCUCUGGAGAAUCUGCGUUGUGUGAUCAGUGUUCCUCGACAAUGCGGCGCUGGUGACGAUUGAAAUGUCGAAGUGGCAUAGCGCCUCGGCAGCGCAGUUCAGCGAACCGCGAUGUGGCGUCGCCGUGUCCACCUUUGCUUAACGGACGUCGAGGGAUGUGCUGCUCUCUACAAGUCACAAAAAUGUGACUGCGUCGACCGCCCACGGUUGAGCGCUGAAUGUGUGGUUUGAGUACUCUGCUUGAAACGAGUGGUGCAGCUCUGGGUGGCAGAACGCCAUGAAAUCCGUGCUGUGCAGACGCUCGAAAUAUCCAAUUCACGUCGGCGUCUUGGCAACGGCCAGUUCGCGAACCGGCGCCCUGGAGCGGCGCCUCUGUGCCCGCCCUAUUCGAUAGCGUCGACGCAUUAAUAUUUACGUAACCAGGCGUCCUUGCUUGACAGACGCCGAUGGCGAAGGUGCUGCGAUAUGCUGCUGGCCAGCCUUGCAGUUUUUCUCACAUUAAAAAUAUGUAGCAUACCUACAUGCCUAGCAUGUGUUAUAAGACAAUGUCUACCAUGAGAAGAUUGUCAGGAGUGCCCCAGUACUGCUCCCAAUCUGGCAUUCCUGGCUUUGCAUGCCCUCAGUAAUCAUGAUGACAAUGUGGGCCCAUUUUUUUCAAAGUAAGCUGCUAUUCUGUUUGCAAAAUGGGGAGGCUAGCUAAGCUAGUCUGUUCUUUGUGUUUUGUCAAUUUGAUGACAAAUUAUUGGCAAUGUUCUUUUAAGGUGCUUUUAAAAGAUGUUAAGCCUACCAAAAAACUGCACCAUUGGCAGUGUUCUUUGGUGGUGACAGAAAAGUGAAACUGCAGACUAAGUUGGUCAUGCCCGCAUUUUUGGAAAAUUUAAGAGCAAUAUCGACACCCACAACCGUACAACUGAUUGAGCCAUGGAUGGCCACACGCUUUCUGCACAAAUUGUGGGCCCUUACGCAACAUCAAUGAAGAGUCAACAAGCCAAGGUUUCCCUUCGACCUAGGCAGUCUACAGUUCGUUGUCGUCGCAACAGCUGAUCGCCCCGCAAGUUCACAGCCUGUGCCUUCUGCUGAUACUAGAGUCAACUCGUCACCCAUGCACAACACUUCUAGUUGCCCCAGUAGUAGUGCUGCUGCUUCUAAAUAUUGAGUAACCACACAUUGUAGGCUACAAGGGCAUUGUUGCACUGCAUCUCACCUCCAUGUGUGUUGUGUUGCUGUUUGCAUACAUGUCCUUGUUCAAUAAGCGCUCUGAAUUUUUUUCACUACUGCAAUGUCUUAACUGCACUGUGGCAGUGCUGUAUAUACUAUCGAUUAACCUCCAUAUACACAAGUGCUUUGAUCAUCAAUCUUCAAAAAUGCAACCUUCAUGCUUCUCCUCCUUCACAAGAAAGCUUGCAUAUCAAACAUUAUUCUUACCCCAACUAGAAUUGGCAGGUUGAAUUUGGUCACUUCUCCAGGCAUAUCUAAUCCGCAUUCUUGAGUAUAGCCAAAACUGUGCUGCACGUUUAAUUACCAGGGAUUACAACCAAUAUUUGAGCAUAUCUAACAUUACGUUGUCACUACCAUCCUUUGAAUCAUGCCGGAAUGUAGUGUCGCUUUGUCUGCUACAUAAAAUCAUUCAUAGUGAGCAGUCGUCCACCUUGCCUCUUGUUUGUCCAUCCCACACAUCUAGGUGCUUCUACAAUCGCCUUAGCGUCCAGCACAUUUUUGGUCGAACUGAUGCCUUUAACUUGUCUGCUUUGCCACGUGCCAUUAGGCAUUGGAAUGGUCUUCUCGAUAACAUUGCUGACAUUAACAAUACUGUAACCUUCAGACAAAAAAAUCAGUAUGUUUGGUUAGUGUUCAAGUGUUUCUAUUUCUGGUGUAUGUAACUUUUUAUGUAAUUAUGCAAUCGUACUAUUCACUGUAUAACCCAGCUCUCUAAUGGUAGAAUUUUACUUCCAAGAUUUUAUAAUUUGUUCUUUUCAAGUUACUGUGUUGAUCUUGUGUCGCUGUUUAUAUUUCUAACGUAUAACUUUUUGGCUCCUUUGUUAUGCGAUGCCCUCCCCCCUCCACGCAAUACUCCUUCUGGAGUCUGUGAUGUAAAUGAAUACAUAAACCAGAGGGCACUACUGUUUCUUGUGGAAUCAAAAUUGUGUACAUUGUUGUAGUUUUACCAAUAAAAGCUCUAAAUUGUGAA